CCCUAGCCCCGAUGGAAACGGCAUCCUUUUGUGACGGAGUUCGGCACAAAAGAUAUAGUGGACAGCGGGAAAGAGC
This 76-nucleotide small RNA is filed under the name Flavobacterium collinsii. Its description in RNAcentral is "Flavo-1". It matches the Rfam family "Flavo-1 RNA". The record is from RNAcentral. Lineage: Bacteria; Pseudomonadati; Bacteroidota; Flavobacteriia; Flavobacteriales; Flavobacteriaceae.